Molecule: ribosomal RNA, 253 nt
Filed under: uncultured bacterium
Lineage: Bacteria
Description: partial 16S ribosomal RNA
Rfam family: Bacterial small subunit ribosomal RNA
Source: RNAcentral
UACGUAGGGGGCUAGCGUUGUCCGGAAUCAUUGGGCGUAAAGCGCGUGUAGGCGGUCCGGUAAGUCCGCUGUGAAAGUCGAGGGCUCAACCCUCGAAUGCCGGUGGAUACUGUUGGGCUUGAGUACGGGAGAGGCGAGUGGAAUUCCUGGUGUAGCGGUGAAAUGCGCAGAUAUCAGGAGGAACACCGAUUGCGAAGGCAGCUCGCUGGAACGUUACUGACGCUGAGACGCGAAAGCGUGGGGAGCAAACAGG